GUYCCUGUAGUAUAAACAAAUUACACUGGUCUUGUAAACCAAAAAUGAAGAACAUUCUUCCAAGGAUA
This 68-nucleotide transfer RNA is filed under the name Choloepus didactylus (southern two-toed sloth). RNAcentral describes it as "tRNA-Thr". Lineage: Eukaryota; Metazoa; Chordata; Mammalia; Pilosa; Megalonychidae. The record is from RNAcentral.